GGGAAAAGGCCCAUAGGAAUGUUCUCUGCACAAGGAGAAAACAUAAGAAAUGCUUUAUGAAAGGACACCACAGCUUUUAUCACUUGCCAUUCACUUACGCAGGAUCUUUUUGAACUACUAUAGAAAGCAGUGUGGAUGGAACAAUUGGAAGAAAUCGGGAGUAUUUUGUGAUCAAAGGCAAAGGUCAAAGAUUGGUGGACCUGGUGCCAACGUUGAAGAAGCAGGAGCUACUGUAGC
Polypterus senegalus (gray bichir) is the source of this 237-nucleotide long non-coding RNA. RefSeq lists it as uncharacterized. NCBI's taxonomy places the organism in Eukaryota, Metazoa, Chordata, Cladistia, Polypteriformes, Polypteridae. The transcript has 3 exons. The record is from RefSeq and is a predicted model, not a curated record.